GGAAAGUCACACAAAACCGCAAACUUAAGGCCAACGUAGCGAGUCAGCACCAGAAUCAACACACCACCAGUGACGGAGGGUUGGACAGAAGGUAGCUCACACACAAUACGGCGAUGUUGACUUCGGUUUGACGGGUUUUUGUCUAGGAAGGAACAGGGGAAGUAAGUUUCUCGGAAGAAGUAACCGCAGCAGUCAUUUACACGACGACGAAGAAGGAGUGAGAGACCCCUUGGGAAUCGUGACAUCUGCGGUAGAAUACCGUCUGAAUGGGUGGUGUUUGCUGGUCUAAGAGGUUCGGAAGGUUGUAAUUUCGGUGAUUUGCGUGGCUCGUCAUCACAGGAAAGGGUUUAAUUCCGUAGGUGACAUUUGCCCGAUCAAAGAAGGCGGUAGAAAUCGGUCGUCACGCCACGUCACAUGACACAAAGCCGACUGGUAGCUGAGAACCCUUUUGUUUCCUUCUGAAUCCCAUCAAUUGAAGGUGGAAAAGUCCAUAAUUGUAACAUUGUUAAACGGAACACCCCUUGUAAUGCCCUACCAUCAUCGGUAAACGGUGAAGAAAUGGAAAACCGAUUUGCGUUCAAAACGUUGAUUGGUAUUCUAACGUAAUGGCGGCGAGCGCGCGCGGUCGGUGUCGUGAAGGGGGAGCUAUAAAAUGCAUCGAAACGAUGGACGACGUAAUUCAAACUGACAAACGACAUGCUGGAUUUAUGAACGAGCGUCAAUGGGGCCGCUCGGCGGCUUUGGCAUUGCUGGCAUAAGAAACAACAGAAAAAAGUGUAACAUUUAUGGUAGGCACACGGCGCGAAAUGUUUUCGGUUCGGAGCGAAUCAGGCACGUAUACAGUUUGACAGCUUUGGUGGCCGCCAUUUUUUUCGCGCAUCGGCUGACAACGCCCGCAUUGAAGUCUGUGCCCGGGGAAGGGGUGGGACACAUGUGUCCAAAUUCCCAAAAGAGUCAAAGCAAAGACGGGGCAAACAGGCCGCGAAAACUAAAACAAAUAAUUGAAAAUCGAACCCAGACAACAAACGCGCGGUGGGUAUUAAAUUUUAAAAUUGAAAAUAAAUUCUCCGGUUGCUCGCUGCAGUGGACGAGUUUUGCAGCAUGCGCGAUUCCGCGUCGAGGCUCGCUCAAUUGAUGGCCAUAAAUAUCCCGGUGCGGGCUCGUGUUUGGUUUGGAAAACAAUAAAACAAGUGCUAAAUGGGAUGUCAUUUGUUGUUUUCGGACAGCAGCGCGGAAAAAUGGGCACACUGCCACUCGAUUUUCGGGGCCACU
Long non-coding RNA from Armigeres subalbatus, 1272 nucleotides. RefSeq lists it as uncharacterized. The transcript is spliced from 4 exons. Lineage: Eukaryota; Metazoa; Arthropoda; Insecta; Diptera; Culicidae. The record is from RefSeq and is a predicted model, not a curated record.